This 373-nucleotide ribosomal RNA is filed under the name uncultured bacterium. RNAcentral's name for it is "bacterial SSU rRNA". It matches the Rfam family "Bacterial small subunit ribosomal RNA", at positions 524 to 898 of the family's 1533-position model. The record is from RNAcentral.
UACGUAGGUGGCAAGCGUUGUCCGGAAUUAUUGGGCGUAAAGGAUGUGUAGGCGGUUUUCUAAGUGGGAUGUGAAAUCCCCGGGCUCAACCCGGGAAUUGCAUUCCAAACUGGGAAACUAGAGUGCAGGAGAGGAAAGUGGAAUUCCCAGUGUAGCGGUGAAAUGCGUAGAGAUUGGGAGGAACACCAGUGGCGAAGGCGACUUUCUGGACUGUAACUGACGCUGAGGCAUGAAAGCGUGGGGAGCAAACAGGAUUAGAUACCCUGGUAGUCCACGCUGUAAACGAUGAGUACUAGGUGUAGGGUCUUCCAGGCUCUGUGCCGCAGUUAACACAAUAAGUACUCCGCCUGGGAAGUACGGUCGCAAGACUAAA